UGGGGAAUUUUGCACAAUGGGGGAAACCCUGAUGCAGCGACGCCGCGUGAUUUAGAAGGCCUUCGGGUUGUAAAAAUCUUUUCUAUGGGAAGAAAAUGACAGUACCAUAGGAAUAAGGACCGGCUAAUUACGUGCCAGCAGCCGCGGUAAUACGUAAGGUCCGAGCGUUGUCCGGAAUCAUUGGGCGUAAAGGGUACGUAGGCGGGUAAGCAAGUUAGAAGUGAAAUCCUAUAGCCCAACUAUAGUAAGCUUUUAAAACUGCUCAUCUUGAGGUAUGGAAGGGAAAGUGGAAUUCCUAGUGUAGCGGUGAAAUGCGCAGAUAUUAGGAGGAAUACCGGUGGCGAAGGCGACUUUCUGGCCAUAACCUGACGCUGAGGUACGAAAGCGUGGGUAGCAAACAGG
Molecule: ribosomal RNA, 402 nt
Filed under: bacterium
Lineage: Bacteria
Description: partial 16S ribosomal RNA
Rfam family: Bacterial small subunit ribosomal RNA
Source: RNAcentral